GAUGAACGCUGGCGGCGUGCCUAAUACAUGCAAGUCGAGCGAACAGACGAGGAGCUUGCUCCUCUGACGUUAGCGGCGGGCGGGUGAGUAACACGUGGAUAACCUACCUAUCAGACUGGGAUAACUUCGGGAAACCGGAGCUAAUACCGGAUAAUCUCUUGAACCGCAUGGUUCAAUAGUGAAAGACGGUUUUGCUGUCACUUAUAGAUGGAUCCGCGCCGCAUUAGCUAGUUGGUAAGGUAACGGCUUACCAAGGCAACGAGGCGUAGCCGACCUGAGAGGGUGAUCGGCCACACUGGAACUGAGACACGGUCCAGACGCCUACGGGAGGCAGCAGUAGGGAAUCUUCCGCAAUGGGCGAAAGCCUGACGGAGCAACGCCGCGUGAGUGAUGAAGGCCUUCGGAUCGUAAAACUCUGUUAUUAGGGAAGAACAAAUGUGUAAGUAACCAUGCACGUCUUGACGGUACCUAAUCAGAAAGCCACGGCUAACUACGUG
Molecule: ribosomal RNA, 497 nt
Filed under: uncultured bacterium
Lineage: Bacteria
Description: partial 16S ribosomal RNA
Rfam family: Bacterial small subunit ribosomal RNA
Source: RNAcentral